RNAcentral lists this ribosomal RNA (267 nucleotides) under uncultured bacterium. Its description in RNAcentral is "partial 16S ribosomal RNA". It matches the Rfam family "Bacterial small subunit ribosomal RNA", at positions 793 to 1055 of the family's 1533-position model. The record is from RNAcentral.
GUCCACGCCCUAAACGAUGAUGACUAGUUGUUGGAGGAGUUAAAUCCUUUAGUAACGCAGCUAACGCGAGAAGUCAUCCGCCUGGGGAGUACGGUCGCAAGAUUAAAACUCAAAGGAAUUGACGGGGGGCCCGCACAAGCGGUGGAUGAUGUGGUUUAAUUCGACGCAACGCGAAAAACCUUACCUACCCUUGACAUGUACGGAACCUCAUAGAGAUGUGAGGGUGCCCGAAAGGGAGCCGUAACACAGGUGCUGCAUGGCUGUCGU